UUCGUCAGCUUAAUGUAGAAAUUAUUUCAUGUCCUGGUCCCUAGUUUUUGGCAAUGUUUCUUGAAAUGGUAAAUAUUAUUGAUGCCAAAACUCAAAACUAGCACUAAGAAAGUGCUGUGAUUACAUCCAAAAAGAGCAAAAGAAAAGUGAACCCUCGCUACCUAGACAGUAUCUAUGAACUAUAACAGGGUUUCAGCAUCCUCAACUAUAUCCAUUUUGCACCAGCAAGAGACUGUAAAUAUAAAAUCAGAUUUGAGUUUCCAGAUUGAGCUCUUUCGUCCAUCAAAAUAUCUUCUAUUCCUGUCCUUCCAGAUACUCCAUCAUAUGCUAGCAGGUAUGGUGUUCCAUGCCUUCUUUAAGUGUUUGAGGAGUCCAUAUCUACUUCAGAAUCUGUUGUCGACCAAUUCAGACCCCGGUAGUUAAGAAAUAUAUGUCAAACUUGUGAAGUAUAAGAGCAAUGCAAGAACAGAUGACUGUUGCUUUCUUGAUUUUCCUCACACAAGAAACAUCUGUUUACUAACUGUAUACCUUUUUUUUUUGUAGGUUCUCUAGAGUUAGACAAGCUUCCUUGAUGACAAGCCAUUUAAAACUCAUUACUUUGACAGGAGCUCUGGAAUUCCAUAUCUGUUUCUAAGGACCAACAUUAAUCUGAUUCCCAGCAUUCGGUUAAACCUUAUGGAGUAGCAUUCUCUUUAUUGAGAGGAAGGUAUUUUUGCCAUGUUGGACUACCUGGGUGGACUGCCAUGUCAGCUCUAAUAGCAAAGAUAAUGUUUUAAGGCUAUUUGUGUUCCAAAACAUAGACGACAAGGGUGGUUUUGAUUCCAAACAUAUUUAAAGGGUAUAUAUGAGCUAUUUCGAAUAGUUCGAGGGUGAUUUUGACCCUUUUCCGUUAACUUUUUACUGCUUUUGUUAAUGUAGAGUUCAAGAAAGCAAAAAAUAAAAUAAAAAUCUUGUAGAAUGUUUUUGUUUUUGUUUUAUUUUGAGGUUAGCAUGGUUAGUAAGACGA
This 1006-nucleotide long non-coding RNA is filed under the name Solanum tuberosum (potato). Its description in RNAcentral is "long non-coding RNA (STUB_LNC000649)". Lineage: Eukaryota; Viridiplantae; Streptophyta; Magnoliopsida; Solanales; Solanaceae. The record is from RNAcentral.